RNAcentral lists this ribosomal RNA (441 nucleotides) under uncultured bacterium. RNAcentral describes it as "partial 16S ribosomal RNA". It matches the Rfam family "Bacterial small subunit ribosomal RNA", at positions 338 to 795 of the family's 1533-position model. The record is from RNAcentral.
CCUACGGGUGGCAGCAGUGGGGAAUAUUGCACAAUGGGGGAAACCCUGAUGCAGCAACGCCGCGUGCGUGAAGAAGUAUUUCGGUAUGUAAAGCUCUAUCAGCAGGGAAGAAGAAAGACGGUACCUGAUUAAGAAGCCCCGGCUAACUACGUGCAAGCAGCCGCGGAAAUACGUAGGGGGCAAGCGUUAUCCGGAUUUACUGGGUGUAAAGGGAGCGUAGACGGCUGUGCAAGUCCGAUGUGAAAGCCCGUGGCUCAACCGCGGAACUGCUUUGGAAACUGUAUAGCUGGAGUACAGGAGAGGCAGGCGGAAUUCCUAGGGUAGCGGUGAAAUGCGUAGAUAUUAGGAGGAACACCAGUGGCGAAGGCGGCCUGCUGGACAGAAACUGACGUUGAGGCUCGAAAGCGUGGGGAGCAAACAGGAUUAGAUACCCGAGUAGUC